Molecule: ribosomal RNA, 468 nt
Filed under: uncultured bacterium
Lineage: Bacteria
Description: partial 16S ribosomal RNA
Rfam family: Bacterial small subunit ribosomal RNA
Source: RNAcentral
GACGAACGCUGGCGGCGUGCUUAACACAUGUAAGUCGAACGGAAAGGCCCUGCUUUUGUGGGGUGCUCGAGUGGCGAACGGGUGAGUAACACGUGAGUAACCUGCCCUUGACUUUGGGAUAACUUCAGGAAACUGGGGCUAAUACCGGAUAGGAGCUCCUGCUGCAUGGUGGGGGUUGGAAAGUUUCGGCGGUUGGGGAUGGACUCGCGGCUUAUCAGCUUGUUGGUGGGGUAGUGGCUUACCAAGGCUUUGACGGGUAGCCGGCCUGAGAGGGUGACCGGCCACAUUGGGACUGAGAUACGGCCCAGACUCCUACGGGAGGCAGCAGUGGGGAAUAUUGCACAAUGGGCGGAAGCCUGAUGCAGCAACGCCGCGUGCGGGAUGACGGCCUUCGGGUUGUAAACCGCUUUCGCCUGUGACGAAGCGUGAGUGACGGUAAUGGGUAAAGAAGCACCGGCUGACUACGUG